Molecule: ribosomal RNA, 706 nt
Filed under: Burkholderia sp. I27(2010)
Lineage: Bacteria; Pseudomonadati; Pseudomonadota; Betaproteobacteria; Burkholderiales; Burkholderiaceae
Description: bacterial SSU rRNA
Rfam family: Bacterial small subunit ribosomal RNA
Source: RNAcentral
UGCAGUCGAACGGCAGCACGGGUGCUUGCACCUGGUGGCGAGUGGCGAACGGGUGAGUAAUACAUCGGAACAUGUCCUGUAGUGGGGGAUAGCCCGGCGAAAGCCGGAUUAAUACCGCAUACGAUCUACGGAUGAAAGCGGGGGACCUUCGGGCCUCGCGCUAUAGGGUUGGCCGAUGGCUGAUUAGCUAGUUGGUGGGGUAAAGGCCUACCAAGGCGACGAUCAGUAGCUGGUCUGAGAGGACGACCAGCCACACUGGGACUGAGACACGGCCCAGACUCCUACGGGAGGCAGCAGUGGGGAAUUUUGGACAAUGGGCGAAAGCCUGAUCCAGCAAUGCCGCGUGUGUGAAGAAGGCCUUCGGGUUGUAAAGCACUUUUGUCCGGAAAGAAAUCCUUGGCUCUAAUACAGUCGGGGGAUGACGGUACCGGAAGAAUAAGCACCGGCUAACUACGUGCCAGCAGCCGCGGUAAUACGUAGGGUGCGAGCGUUAAUCGGAAUUACUGGGCGUAAAGCGUGCGCAGGCGGUUUGCUAAGACCGAUGUGAAAUCCCCGGGCUCAACCUGGGAACUGCAUUGGUGACUGGCAGGCUAGAGUAUGGCAGAGGGGGGUAGAAUUCCACGUGUAGCAGUGAAAUGCGUAGAGAUGUGGAGGAAUACCGAUGGCGAAGGCAGCCCCCUGGGCCAAUACUGACGCUCAUGCACGA